GCAUUUGUGACUGGUUAACUUUUAAUUUGUCAAAAUAAAUCUGCAGUAUUUUGCAUGUUAGUAAUACAGUGCUGGUAUUGACAGGUAAAAUCAUCUGCUUACACAGAAACCUUCAUUUAGGAGCACACCUUAGGAGGGAAAUGGAUACACAGUAAAAGGCAAGUGCAGGCCAAGCAGUGAGCCCUAGAGCACAACAGGCUGGAUGUCAGAUUUAAGGAUUAUCUAAUACAACUGUUUAGUUGCCAAUCUGAUAAAGGGAAGCUCUCAAUCAGGUUACAAUCAGAAGGGAAAAACAUACUUUGCCUUUCUGUAGAGCAGUGGCUGUUGUGCCUUCAACACCUGGUUGAAUCAGUUCAUCGGCAUCACAACUCAUUUCCAGUUCCAAGACACAGGAGAGUUUCAUCAUACAACCCAUUCGGCCUCCUCUGCAGUGGCCCACCCUCACCCCAUCCUGCCACCAACUGUCUCCCUCCCAAAAGAAGACACGACGUGGCUUUAUUAUUGCAGAUAAACUUAAGUGAAUAAAGAAUGCAUAUAAAAUAGGAUUUUAACUGAAGUCAUACAAUGAAGUCUCACUCCCCGUUUAUUAUACAAUGAAUUGAUAAAACAAUCAUUUCUAGUAUAUAUCUUUUUUUUUUUUAAAGAACUAAUAUUUUCAGGAUCCUGACAACCACACUCUAGCCUGGGGGUAGGGCCCACGCCUGCCCCCAUUGAGGAUUGCUCCUUGGACCGCUGUGGAGGAAGCCUGGGCUGUCUGAACCAUGGAGAAUUGAGACUGCCAGCCUAUCAGAGGUAACAUCCUAGCAGGUAGAGCCAGAACCCAGUCCUGGGUCUGCAUGCCAGGAAAUGUGGGCUUCCUCCAAAUGCGGUAACUGCCCUCCCAAUCCAGGCCUCAGCAGGGCCAUUCCUGGGCCUUCUCUACAUAAAUCCUUCCAGUAGUCCACACAUAAUGCUCUACAUAUUAAAAUCAAGCCAUUUUUGUACUGUGGAUAAGAACAGUUGUAACAAAGUCAUAGCUACAUAUUUUUCUCUACAUUUUGUUUAUUGAGACAAACUAAUUAAAAGGCACAAACAUAGGGCAUGUUUACAUGGACAUUAUAACAAACAUAUACAUUAAAAGUGUAGGAAUGUGUUGCCUUCCUGCUAAACAGAAAGUUCCUAAGCUUUUAUAUAUACAAAAGUUGUACAAUUUAAUGUCCUAAAGUACAAAAGAUCAUUUAUAAAAUUAUUUUACACUAGGUACUAUUUAUUUUUUUACUAUGUAGUUCAACCCCCUAGAACUGUUUUGUAUAAUGACACACAGAUACCUAUCCCUGACGUAGGAAGUCUGCUUCAGAUGUAAGGUUUUUUGAUAAUUGAACUGACACAGUGGGGUAUAAACGGAAGUCAUUCAGUUUGAUAGUCCCGCAAACAUUCUGCAGGAUUAAUACAACUAAUUUCCAUUUCUCUUUACUGCAAGAUUAAAAUAUGAAAAAACCAAAAACAUAUUGCAACUUAAAAAAAAAAAUCACAGGAUCUUGGUUUUAACUUUUUAAACACAAUAUUUUAAAACAUUAAUGUGUGGCGUGAUGGUAUAAAGAAUAUCUGUUUCCGUAGCUUUUGGUUUCUACCUUAUGUACAAAGAGAAAACAUACUGCUAAGAAAUAAAAAGCACAUGUCUCAACGUGCACAACCAUUGCUGGGUUUCUACAGAGAGUGCAGAGAACUGUCUCUCUGAAAACACCACAAAGCUGAUACAAGUGUUGUCUCAAAAAAAAAAAGAUGUCCAUAUUUACAAAGUUGAACAAAUCUGCACAAUACGUGAUUAAACGGAAGAAGAAAAAAAGAAAAUGAUACACUCUGCUCGUUCUGAAGGGGCAUACUACCUAGUUAGUGGUUAGAAUAAAAACUGUAUACAAUUUAAUAUAAGACAUAAACUCUAGUGAGCAUCUAAAACAUCUGUCCCUGUUGUAACAUCAACAGGCUCUGAUUGGGGGAGAGAGCGGCAUUUCACAUCCCAGUGCCUCCAGCGUCUUUCAAUUUAAAGCAAUAUAUCUGAACUGUUCCAAGGUACUCCUUAGCUCCUGAACAAGAGUCCCACUGGCCUCCAUUUCUUAGAAGACUGCCUGUCCGCACACUUGACUUCUCCUCUGUCAAUGGUGGCCUUUCCUUACCAAAACACAAUUUGUAUAUUUUUUUUAAAAUUUUUUAAAAAGUCAACUACAAUGCUAUAUUCCAUCAGGAUUAAUAUGCUGAGCAAUAUUUACAUCUACAAAUAUCAGGUCACAAUCCCUAUUAUAUGUUGAAGUUAGAAUGAUAAAUUAUCAUAUGCUUUGCAUAUCAGAGCUGGUAUCACCUUUCCCAUAGGGAAUGCUGCCUGAAAUUAACAUAUUCCCAAAGGUAAAAUGCAUAUUCUCUGAAAUGCAUUUUAUUAUGACAAUGCAUAUAUUUACUCAUAAAAACAAUAAACACAGACAAUUUUACACUAGCUCUCAAUCUGUGGAUUCAGAAUUUCAGGUUAAAAUCAGCCAUCCACCUUGUAUAGGGAGAACACUUCUGCUAGUGUUUAGAAUAAAAUGAUUUCUUGGGCUUAGAAACAACAAUGGUAAUUUUUAAAUUUUGAAAUGGGUUUUGCUUUUUUAUGAUUGGUUUUCAUUCUGGCAUUUCAUCUUGCCAACUACUAUACUGUUUAAGCAAUGCUGUCAGCUAAAAGGAAUUUCUGAUUAAACUAAAAGUGGUCCAGUGAUAAGUUACAUAUACAUCCUACUUUGAACCAUCCCAGCCAAAUUGGAGGAAAAUGCUACUAUAUUCUUAUUAACUAAUGUAAUAAAAUCUUCCAAUUUCAUGGUUUGCUUUUUGCUUUAACUGACUAAAAUAAGUUGCUGGUAAAUAUUUACUUUAACCCAUAUUUGAUAUUAUAAUACUGUUUACCAAGGUGGUGAUGUAGGCAAAGCUUGGGGCAAGAAAGGCAUGCUUUCUACAGGCCUCAUUGCUAUAUUGAGAGGGGCAGCUAAUGUCAUAGGAGUAGGCAGGUUCAUUGGAGACGUGAUUGUGACAGGGUGUGCUAUAUUCACUGGGGCAGUGACAGGGGUUGGGAGGUUUACUGGGGUAGUAAGUGUUAAAGGAGAGGUCAUGGAUAAUGGACUUGUUAUAGUUACAGGAUGCCCUAUGUUCAUUGGGCUAGUUAUAUUAACAGCACUUGAAACAUUUACUGGACUUCUCAUGCUCAUUGCAGCUGCCACUGUGACUGGGUUUGACAUUGUCCCAGACGACACAGAGGAUGUUAUAUUGAAUGGAGUAGUGAGAGUCACAGGUGUCGUAGCAGCCGUGGAGGUUUGGCACAGGUUAGCAGCUUCU
Long non-coding RNA from Heterocephalus glaber (naked mole-rat), 3336 nucleotides. Lineage: Eukaryota; Metazoa; Chordata; Mammalia; Rodentia; Bathyergidae. The record is from Ensembl.